RNAcentral lists this transfer RNA (74 nucleotides) under Pelecanus crispus (Dalmatian pelican). It matches the Rfam family "tRNA". Rfam says of the family: Transfer RNA (tRNA) molecules are approximately 80 nucleotides in length. Their secondary structure includes four short double-helical elements and three loops (D, anti-codon, and T loops). Further hydrogen bonds mediate the characteristic L-shaped molecular structure. tRNAs have two regions of fundamental functional importance: the anti-codon, which is responsible for specific mRNA codon recognition, and the 3' end, to which the tRNAs corresponding amino acid is attached (by aminoacyl-tRNA synthetases). tRNAs cope with the degeneracy of the genetic code in two manners: having more than one tRNA (with a specific anti-codon) for a particular amino acid; and 'wobble' base-pairing, i.e. permitting non-standard base-pairing at the 3rd anti-codon position. The record is from Rfam by way of RNAcentral. Lineage: Eukaryota; Metazoa; Chordata; Aves; Pelecaniformes; Pelecanidae.
CCAAGGUUAGCUCAGUUGGUUAGAGCGUGGUGCUAAUAACGCCAAGGUCACAGGUUCAAUCCCUGCUCACUGCA